This 1977-nucleotide ribosomal RNA is filed under the name Triticum aestivum (bread wheat). Its description in RNAcentral is "partial small subunit ribosomal RNA". The record is from RNAcentral. Lineage: Eukaryota; Viridiplantae; Streptophyta; Magnoliopsida; Poales; Poaceae.
AUGGCAACGGCCACAAUGGCGACGGCUGCAGGUGCCGCCGCGCUGCUCUACUACACGCUGAACCGCCGGCUGCACACGGAGAAGCUGGACAGGGAAGGGGGCUCGGACGGCGAGAAUGGCAGGGACGCGGCGGCCAGCGGCACGCUGGAGUCCCAUAGCAUGAGCCGGGUGUCGCGGAGGGACGUGCGCGCCCCCGCCACGUGGCUGGAGACCAUCUCGACCCUGUCGGAGACGCUGCGGUUCACGUACUCUGAGACCCUUGGGAAGUGGCCCAUCGGGGACCUCGCUUUCGGAAUCAGCUUCCUCCUCAAGAGACAGGGGAACUUAUCUGUUGCAAGCAUAUAUGCUGGAGAUGAUAGUGUGGAGCUCAAAGGAGCUUCGGUAGUUACGGACUUGAGGUAUCUUUUGAAUUUGUUGACACUGUGUUGGCAUUUUUCCAAAAAGCCAUUCCCGUUAUUUUUGGAAGCUACUGGCUACUCCAUGGAGGAUGUUCUUAUGCAAGAACCUAAAGCAGGGAUUUUGAAGCCAGCUUUCACCAUUUUACUUGAUAGAGACAGACAAUGUAUACUUCUACUAAUUAGAGGCACCCACAGUAUAAGGGAUACCCUGACAGCUGCUACGGGUGCUGUGGUUCCGUUCCACCAUACAAUAGUCAAAGAAGGUGGUGUUAGUGAUCUAGUUUUAGGGUAUGCACAUUUUGGGAUGGUUGCAGCGGCUAGAUGGAUUGCAAAGCUUGCAACUCCUUGUCUCACAGAAGCAUUACAUUUGUAUCCAGAUUAUAAAAUAAAGGUUGUUGGACAUUCACUUGGAGGUGGUACAGCAGCUCUCUUGACAUACGUCCUGAGGGAACAGCAGGAGUUUGCCUCCGCUACUUGCGUGUCAUUUGCUCCAGCUGCUUGUAUGACAUGGGAGCUGGCUGAGUCAGGAGUACAUUUUAUCACUACAGUCAUCAAUGGUGCUGAUUUGGUGCCAACAUUUUCGGCGGCGGCAGUAGAUGAUCUUCGUUCAGAGGUGACGGCAUCUGCCUGGCUGAAUGAUCUCCGUCACCAAAUCGAGCAAACCAGAAUCCUGAGCACUUUCUAUCGAUCUGCAUCUGCCUUGGGAUCGCGACUUCCUUCUAUAGCAAAUGCUAAAGCUAGAGUAGCUGGUGCUGGUGCCAUCCUAAGACCUGUAUCUAAUGGAACACAGGUUGUAAUGAGGAGAGCUCGCAGUGUAGCACAAGCAGCAUGGACAAGACCGGGGCUACAACUAUCCUCAUGGGCUUGUAUUGGGCCAAGGCGGCGGAAUACUACCUCAAUUGUCACAUCAGAAGAAAUAACAACUUCCACUACCAACGGUGGCUCUGAAUCCAGUUCACUAUUGACUGAGACCAUGAUGGAAACCACAGAGAUAGUUACAUCUGAAACCACGCAGUAUGCUGCAUCAGAAGAGGUCCAGAGCACCAUCUCGGCAUCCGAUGCUGUUGGUACCUUGGAUGACAAGGUAGACAGUGAUGGUGAAGACAUCAUCGAUCAUCACGUGGAUGAGGACAGGAUCACCGAAGUAGAGCUGUGGCAACAACUCGAAAACGAGCUGUACCGGAAAAGGGAAGGGGAGAACGACAUAGUGGAAGAGAUGACUGAAAGUAACAUUGCCGAGGAAGUUGGCGGCAGAGCUCAAGAUGUCCUCAGUGAACCCAACGAGAAGGAGGUCCACAGAUUCUACCCACCUGGGAAAAUCAUGCACGUAAUAACAUCCACAAGAGAAGCAGCCAUAGACGACGACGAGACCAGCGAACAUGAGGAUGAAGAGCCAGACCUUCACCAAGUUGAUGCUGCCGGGGAGUCGGAGACAAGCAUAGGGAUCUUCUUGACGCCAAGAUCUCUGUAUGGCAAGCUGAGGCUGUCGAAGAUGAUGAUCAACGAUCAUUACAUGCCGAUGUACAGAAGAAACAUCGAGCAGUUGGUUGCGGAGCUUGAGAAGGACCUGGCUCUGUAG